This 74-nucleotide transfer RNA is filed under the name Clostridiales bacterium. Its description in RNAcentral is "tRNA-Pro". It matches the Rfam family "tRNA". From Rfam's summary of the family: Transfer RNA (tRNA) molecules are approximately 80 nucleotides in length. Their secondary structure includes four short double-helical elements and three loops (D, anti-codon, and T loops). Lineage: Bacteria; Bacillati; Bacillota; Clostridia; Eubacteriales. The record is from RNAcentral.
CUGGGUGUGGCGUAGUUUGGUAGCGCGCUUGAAUGGGGUUCAAGAGGUCGCAAGUUCGAAUCUUGUCACCCAGA